Molecule: long non-coding RNA, 1028 nt
Organism: Ailuropoda melanoleuca (giant panda)
Lineage: Eukaryota; Metazoa; Chordata; Mammalia; Carnivora; Ursidae
Exons: 4
Source: RefSeq, a predicted model, not a curated record
AGAACGGCUGUCAAAGCUGUUACGUAUGAGAGACACCUUGACCAGAAAAAAAAAAAGGAAAAAGGGAGGCAGGGCAGAAAAUAACGCUGUUGCCACCACAAACACCUUCCUUCCGCUUUUCUGCCUGCCUUGCCGGCUUACGAGGAAUCUGUGUGUUCAGUAAAUAACCAGCUCUGCCAGCGCCUGUAGAGUUGUGGACAGAGUGGGGGAAGCGAGAGUUUGGGUUUGGACAAGUCGAAGAUCAAAUUCCAGCUUUUCCUGGCUGUGUUACUCUGGACAAGAUGAGGAAACUGAGGCCCAACAGAUGGCCGAGCUUGGGGUUAGUUGCCUGAGGUGCUGAGGAACUGCAAAGAGGAGACCUUUGCAGGAGACUGCGUCUGGAGCCAGUUAGGCCCGCCAAGAGCUUUCAGAAAUUAGAAGGCCACACAAAUGCUUUUUGGCUGGAAGCAUCCUAAUGGGCCCCACCCAUCUUGCUUAGAGUCAGGCCUCCUUCUUCCCACUACUGGACCCUGUGUUGCCAGGCUGGAAGAGAUCCCCUCGUACCCAGAAUAAAAAGAACUUGGAGCAAAAUCAACUUCAUAUGUCCAAGCAAUGCUUCGUCAACCUUGGAAUGUCACAAACGGUGUAAUUCUAAAACUCACCAGGAGAUUGGCAUUGGGUUGCCAACAGUGUCCUUUGCCAAAUUAAGUAACAUUUUAAAUAUCGCCAUCUGCAAUAGCCGUCAGUUUGUAAAUGGGCACCUUGAUCAAAACUAUGACUCCAAAGUUUCAGUCCUGAGUUACCUGUGCUGGAGCUCUGGCCGGAACCCUUGAUUAUGGGAAGGUCAAUGGCAUGCUUACGGCAACCGUGUAGGAAAAUGAGAAGUCCACCAAUCUGAUGGGUUUUCCUUCUGACCCAAAGACAGAAAAACAAAUCUAAAAGAAAUACGACAAGAAGCAGGACUGGAUCCCUCGAAUCUGUUUGGAUUUGUCGGCUCACCUGAGUUAGAUGGUAAGUUCAGUCCUCCUCCACCAUGCCAAACAGGGCCA